CUACGGGGCGGCAGCAGUGGGGAAUAUUGGACAAUGGGCGCAAGCCUGAUCCAGCAAUGCCGCGUGAGUGAAGACGGCCUUAGGGUUGUAAAACUCUUUCGCUAGGGAAGAUAAUGACUGUACCUAGUAAAGAAGUCCCGGCUAACUCCGUGCCAGCAGCCGCGGUAAUACGGAGGGGACUAGCGUUGUUCGGAAUUACUGGGCGUAAAGAGUUCGUAGGCGGACUGACAAGUUAGAGGUGAAAUCCCAGGGCUCAACCCUGGAACUGCCUUUAAAACUGUCAGUCUAGAGACCGGAAGAGGUUAGGGGAAUACCUAGUGUAGAGGUGAAAUUCGUAGAUAUUAGGUGGAACACCAGUGGCGAAGGCGCCUAACUGGUCCGGUACUGACGCUGAGGAAAGAAAGCGUGGGGAGCAAACAGGAUUAGAUACCCGGGUAGUC
RNAcentral lists this ribosomal RNA (440 nucleotides) under uncultured bacterium. RNAcentral's name for it is "partial 16S ribosomal RNA". It matches the Rfam family "Bacterial small subunit ribosomal RNA", at positions 339 to 795 of the family's 1533-position model. The record is from RNAcentral.